AAGGUGUCAUGAGAGCUCCCUUAUGCUGAGCCCUUAUAAUCAACACAAAGAAACAUUUGCAAAAGGGAGAGAGAGACUUGUGAAGAGUGGAAGUAAGGCUACAAUACCAAGCUUUUUAAGAUCGAUUUCCUGAUUGAAGUGAAAACUGGAGACUGACUCAGGCAGCUGCUGGAGGCCGUUUUAUCAGCACCUUGCAUGCAUCUCACUGGUCAACAAAGUUUUUUGUCUCUGUACUUACUCUUAU
Molecule: long non-coding RNA, 244 nt
Organism: Tyto alba (common barn owl)
Lineage: Eukaryota; Metazoa; Chordata; Aves; Strigiformes; Tytonidae
Exons: 3
Source: RefSeq, a predicted model, not a curated record